GGGGACGAUCGGUUUCGACGGUGGUCGUGUUUCGAUGAGAAGCGGGCCGAGGAUGUGGGCUUAUCUCGUUAACGAUGCCUACAAAACAAUAGGUGCAGAUUCUAAGCGCACCGACUUCGCCCUUGCUGCCUGAUAGCGCAAGCGCCUAAUGAAGUCCGUCAGCCCGGGGAUGCUAUCGCCCCGGAUCCUGGCGUCAUCUAGAUAGCUCAGCUUGCAACCUUUGUCGUUGGGGUUGUAGGGACUUUUAGACGACUGAGCCUGUCAGUGAACGUGUCUGCGCGAGCACUGGGGCCGAGAAAAUCCAUAGCAGACUGCGCCCGGAGAAGUCCUGGAUGUGCGUCACCGGACCGGGGUUCGAUUCCCCGCGUCUCCAC
This 374-nucleotide transfer-messenger RNA is filed under the name Timonella senegalensis. It matches the Rfam family "transfer-messenger RNA". From Rfam's summary of the family: Bacterial tmRNA, also known as 10Sa RNA or SsrA, is named for its dual tRNA and mRNA-like properties. Its role is to liberate the mRNA from a stalled ribosome. Lineage: Bacteria; Bacillati; Actinomycetota; Actinomycetes; Micrococcales. The record is from RNAcentral.